RNAcentral lists this ribosomal RNA (253 nucleotides) under uncultured bacterium. RNAcentral's name for it is "partial 16S ribosomal RNA". It matches the Rfam family "Bacterial small subunit ribosomal RNA", at positions 524 to 776 of the family's 1533-position model. The record is from RNAcentral.
UACGUAGGGGGCAAGCGUUGUCCGGAAUUAUUGGGCGUAAAGAGCGUGUAGGCGGUCCGGUAAGUCGGCUGUGAAAGUCCAGGGCUCAACCCUGGGAUGCCGGUCGAUACUGCCGGACUAGAGUUCGGAAGAGGCGAGUGGAAUUCCCGGUGUAGCGGUGAAAUGCGCAGAUAUCAGGAAGAACACCCGUGGCUAAGGCGGUUCUCUAGUACGGUACUGACGCUGAGACGCGAAAGCGUGGGGAGCGAACAGG